ACCUGGUUGAUCCUGCCAGUAGUCAUACGCUUGUCUCAAAGAUUAAGCCAUGCAUGUCUAAGUAUAAACAUUUUGUACUGUGAACUGCGAUGGCUCAUUAUAUCAGUUAUAGUCUACUCGAUAGUACCUUACUACUUGGAUACCCGUAGUAAUUUCUAGAGCUAAUACAUGCAUCAAUACCCAACUGCUGGUCGAGGCGAGUAGCAUUUAUUAGAUUGAAACCAAUGCAGUCUUCGGGCUGAGUAUGGUGUUGAGUCAUAAUAACUGUGCGGAUCGCGCUUUUGCGCGAUAAAUCGAUUGAGUUUCUGCCCUAUCAGCUUUAGAUGAGUAGAAUAUGAGGCCUACCAUGAGCAUUAACGGGUAACGGAGAUUAGAGUUUGAUUCGAGAGAGGGAGCUUUAGAAACGGCUACCACAUCCAAGGAGGGCAGCAGGCGCGUAAAUUACCAAUCUGUACACAGGGGAGUAGGUGACACAAAAAAAAAAAAAUAACAUUGCUGUGGCUCUUCGAGUCGGGCAAUUGGAAUGAGAACAAUUUAACUCCCUUAACGAGGAUCAAUUGGAGGGCAAGUCUGGUGCCAGCAGCCGCGGUAAUUCCAGCUCCAAUAGCGUAUAUUAAAGUUGUUGCAGUUAAAAAGCUCGUAGUUGGAUUUCUGUUUUGGAUGUCCGGUCCGCUCCCUCUGGGAGUGUGUACUUAUGGAUAUUCGAGGCAUUUUUUGUGAGGCUGCCUUUCUGCCAUUAAGUUGGUGGGUUGGUGGGCUUGCAUCGUUUACUGUGAAAAAAUUAGAGUGUUAAAGCAGGCGUUUGCUCAUUUGAAUACAUUAGCAUGGAAUAAUAAGAUACGGCCUUGGUGGUCUAUUUUGUUGGUUUGCACACCAGGGUAAUGAUUAAUAGGGACAGUUGGGGGUAUUCAUAUUUCAGCGUCAGAGUGAAAUUCUGGAUCGCUGAAGAUGAGCUUAGGCGAA
Molecule: ribosomal RNA, 963 nt
Organism: Phytophthora infestans T30-4
Lineage: Eukaryota; Oomycota; Peronosporomycetes; Peronosporales; Peronosporaceae
Source: RefSeq, a predicted model, not a curated record